UAGUCAUAUGCUUGUCCCAAAGAUUAAGCCAUGCAUGUCUAAGUAUAAAUCUUUGUACGGUGAAACUGCGAAUGGCUCAUUAUAUCAGUUAUAAUUUAUUUGAUGAUCACUUUACUACUUGGAUAACCGUGGUAAUUCUAGAGCUAAUACAUGCAAAGAACCCAACUUCUGGAAGGGUUGUAUUUAUUAGAUUAAAACCAAUGCCAGCAAUGGCGCUUGGUGAGUCAUGAUAACUGCGCGGAUCGCAUGGCCUUGUGCCGGCGACGCUUCAUUCAAA
RNAcentral lists this ribosomal RNA (277 nucleotides) under uncultured eukaryote. RNAcentral describes it as "partial 18S ribosomal RNA". It matches the Rfam family "Eukaryotic small subunit ribosomal RNA", at positions 21 to 303 of the family's 1831-position model. The record is from RNAcentral.